GAUGAACGCUGGCGGCGUGCUUAACACAUGCAAGUCGAACGAAACACCUUAUUUGAUUUUCUUCGGAACUGAAGAUUUGGUGAUUGAGUGGCGGACGGGUGAGUAACGCGUGGGUAACCUGCCCUGUACAGGGGGAUAACAGUCAGAAAUGACUGCUAAUACCGCAUAAGACCACAGCACCGCAUGGUGCAGGGGUAAAAACUCCGGUGGUACAGGAUGGACCCGCGUCUGAUUAGCUGGUUGGUGAGGUAACGGCUCACCAAGGCGACGAUCAGUAGCCGGCUUGAGAGAGUGAACGGCCACAUUGGGACUGAGACACGGCCCAAACUCCUACGGGAGGCAGCAGUGGGGAAUAUUGCACAAUGGGGGAAACCCUGAUGCAGCGACGCCGCGUGAGUGAAGAAGUAUCUCGGUAUGUAAAGCUCUAUCAGCAGGGAAGAAAAUGACGGUA
This 451-nucleotide ribosomal RNA is filed under the name uncultured bacterium. RNAcentral describes it as "bacterial SSU rRNA". It matches the Rfam family "Bacterial small subunit ribosomal RNA", at positions 28 to 477 of the family's 1533-position model. The record is from RNAcentral.